UGUUAGGUUGGUGCAAAAGUAAUUGAGGUUUUUGCCAUUCACUUUUAUUUCCCCACAAUCACUUUUGCACCAAU
Molecule: microRNA precursor, 74 nt
Filed under: Chlorocebus sabaeus (green monkey)
Lineage: Eukaryota; Metazoa; Chordata; Mammalia; Primates; Cercopithecidae
Description: miRNA (ENSCSAG00000022420.1)
Source: RNAcentral